UUGUUAUAUUCUGGGAUAAAUCUUCAUAUUCACCUAUCACGUAUCACAUAUUGUAAGGGUACGUAGAUUUUUUUUUCCCUCCUUGUUUCUCUGAUUUCAUUUUAAUUUUACUAGCAAUUCAAUCAACCUCUAUGCAGUUGUGCGAUUUUCAAUUCUUCAUUUGCUCUUUCGAUUUCUGGUUCAAUUUUGUUCAAUUUUUGUAAUUGACGGUUUGGUGCAUUUCAAAUCUUAUUUUUCUGGUUAAUUAAAUUCUCUUAUUUCUUUUGAGUUUUAAUAGCACUCAACAUGUUCGAUGAAAUGCUUUAACCAAAUUUCUAGUUGGUUUUACUAUUUCUGGUUGGUAAAGUUUGCAUACUAAAUUCUCUUGUUUAAUGAAUGAAUUGUUUGACUUAGAAGGACCAAUUUAAUGAUAAUGCCCUUGACUUAUUCUAGUUCUUGCUUUAAAGACAAGUAGAAUUUGAUUCAUGAACUUAGUGGCUGUUCCUUCAUCUUCUCGCUGAUUUUUUGUAUCUAAUUUUUCUAAAACUUAAUUUCUGUGAUAUCUACUUUUGAUGGAUUGUCUCUCUAUUUACUGUAGACAUUUGUCAGCCAAAGCAAAGAAAUAAAAAGAAAGAAAAUAACUUAAUUAUGCUGUAAGAAAUUAAGUUUUAGGCUUGUAGAGCAUGAUGGCAAUAGAAAAAUUUUAUGGUACAUAUCUCAAACUAGUUUCUAAGCCUUAGUACAUAUCUAGGAUUUUACUUUUAUGAGGUAUAAAAAUCAUUUUUGGUGUUAUUUUGCAAAGCAGGAAGGAAACAGUAACCUCAAGGCUAAGGAGCCACUUCUUUAAUGCAUUCGUGCAUACAGGGAGGUAAAAUUACUAUUAUAUGUUCUUUAACUCAUUGAGCUUUGAAUUACUUCUCUAAUAUAUUUAUAUCAGCAAUUUACAUCUGAUUAGUUAUAUGGCUAGAAAGUUAUACUGUUUCAACUGAUGCCUUCCAUAAAAUAGUGGUUAGUCUCUUUAUGAUUAAAUUUUUGAGAUUGGAAGCAAUAGUGAAUUGUCCUUUUAUGGUUAAAUUUUGUGGUUAGUCUAUUAUAUUAUUUUGCUACUGAAUUACUUUGCUGUUGCUAGCUAACAGUAGGACAUGAUCAUUUAUCCACUAGCUAGUAAAAUAGUCAAUUUCAAACCAUAAGUUUCAAUAAUUUCAAAACAGAAAAUCUUAGCUAUAUAUGUAAACUGAAAUAAAAUAAUAAGGGCCAGGUGAACUAGAAAAUUACAUGUAUAUAUCUUGGAAUGUUGAUAAUUAUUAUAAAAUAAUAAAUUAAACUUUUCCUUUUUAAUUAAACUUUUUGGACUAUUGUUUUUAAUUUGUUCUUCAUCUAGUUAACUAGUAUAAAACUUAAUUAACUUUCAGCCUCUUUCUUAAUAAUAAUAUAUUCAUUGGCCUGAAUCUUUAUAACAGUAUUGAUGACUUUUAUAGGUUGCUUCCAUGUCUUUUUCUUAUUUUUUUAAUAAGAAAACCAAGACUGCUUAUUGUUUGGUCCCUAACAAAGGAUCUUAAAUCUUAAGAUUUAGUAUCUCAUAUUGCUUCUUUCUUGUUCGUUGGAUUGGUAUACUUUAUUAAUUAUCGUCUCUAUUUUUAUUUGAAAUAAUUAAUGUACAAGAGCUCUAAGGUCAGCACAUUUAAAUCAAUAAAUAAUGGUUACCAUUAGUAUUUAGUAGUUCGAAUUAUACUUACUGUGAAAUCUGUUCGACAUGCCAUCAUCUUCUCUGCCCUCCUAGCAAACCUUUCUUCUCUUUCCCCAUCACGAACAGAGCAGCUAAGUGAAACAAUUAUGGUUGAACUUUUGCAUUUGUGUCUUUAUGCAUCUGACCUGUUCGACGAAAUGCUUCGUCCAUCUAAGGAAAUCAAGGUAAACCUUUAUGCUUAUUCCUUUGAGUCUCUAUCUUACUGUAUGUUAAGUUUCAAUUUUAAGGUUUGUGCAAUCAUGAAAUUCUUAUUCAUUUGUUUGUAAACUUAAUAUUUGUCCUGCAAUAUAGUUUGAGAGUCAUGAAAAUGUAAAAGCUUUUUAUGAGAAAGAAUAAGGUGUACAUAUAUUCCUAAUUUAUAUGUUUAAUUAAUCCUCUGCUGCUGUGUGUAAUAAUUCUUUUGUACUUUUAUUUUAAUUCUUAAAAGCAAAUCAUUGUUUCUUAUCCUAAUAAUAGGUAAGAGAUAUAAAGGUAGCAUAUAGGAUUGAAUUGAAUAGGAAAGUUUAUUAUUACAAUAGCUAACUAGUUUAUUGUGUAAUUGAAGUUCGAAUGAACAAAACUUGAAACAAAAUAGUAAUGCAGACUUCAAACACGUUUGCUUUGCUUCAUUUGAUUUGGAGCUUUGACUAUAUUUAAUUUGUUUUUUUAUUUGGAUUUGGAACUUUGACUUUUCCAAGUUGCUGAAUCGAUCUUUGCGAGAAAAUGAAAGUCUAGUUCUCCAUGGUGAAGCUCUGAAGGCCUCAUACCCACUUUUGUGUUGCUUUUGGGUCUUUUUUAUCAUUCCAGAGUCUCCUAGAUGGCUGGUGAAGAGAGACCGAGGAAAAGAAUUCGAGGCAGCAUUGAGAACACUUUGUGGAAAAGAUGCUGAUAUAUGUCAAGAGGCAGAUGAUGUAACUUAAUUAUACAUUUGUAUAGCAAUUCUGGCGCUCUGCGAACAGGAAUAGAAGAAAUUAUUGUCACUUCGACUAUAGAACGUGUCGCUAUUGACUCUCAGAGGCCGGCAGAUGACGUGCAAUGUAUUAAAAGGAGAAGGCUUAUGCAAUUCAAAGAGGAAGAAGAUGAACACCUUGAACUAAAUGUUGUAGAUCCCAGAGGGAUUUUUCUUUAUUUUUAGUUUUCUCUUAUUUUUUAUUUUAUGUUUUGAAAUACAAUGUUGGUAUUUUUGUGGAAUUCUACUUUUGUGAAGGAAAUUUUUGAUAUUAUAGUAUUUGUAUACAUAUAUAUA
This is a non-coding RNA of Arachis ipaensis, 2951 nucleotides long. The record is from RefSeq and is a predicted model, not a curated record. NCBI's taxonomy places the organism in Eukaryota, Viridiplantae, Streptophyta, Magnoliopsida, Fabales, Fabaceae.